GCGUGAGUGAAGAAGGCCCUAGGGUUGUAAAGCUCUUUCGCCGGUGAAGAUAAUGACGGUAACCGGAGAAGAAGCCCCGGCUAACUUCGUGCCAGCAGCCGCGGUAAUACGAAGGGGGCUAGCGUUGUUCGGAAUUACUGGGCGUAAAGCGCGCGUAGGCGGACAGUUAAGUCAGGGGUGAAAUCCCGAGGCUCAACCUCGGAACUGCCUUUGAUACUGGCUGUCUAGAGUUCGAGAGAGGUAAGUGGAAUUCCGAGUGUAGAGGUGAAAUUCGU
This 275-nucleotide ribosomal RNA is filed under the name uncultured bacterium. Its description in RNAcentral is "partial 16S ribosomal RNA". It matches the Rfam family "Bacterial small subunit ribosomal RNA", at positions 399 to 691 of the family's 1533-position model. The record is from RNAcentral.